GUGCUCACUUCAGCAGCACAUAUACUAAAAUUGGAACAAUACAGAGAAGAUUUGCAUGGCCCCUGCACAAGAAUGACAUGCAAAUUCGUGAAGCAUUUCAUAUUUUU
Otolemur garnettii (small-eared galago) is the source of this 107-nucleotide small nuclear RNA. NCBI's taxonomy places the organism in Eukaryota, Metazoa, Chordata, Mammalia, Primates, Galagidae. The record is from Ensembl.